CAUGCAUUCCUCAAGCCGAACAAGAUAAAUUACCACAGGAGCCGUUCCAAGGUCUAGACACGUUUGACUUACUGCGGAGAGCUAGAUUCUGGAUAGAACGGGGUAACUUAGCGGCUGCACUGCGCUACGUUAGUUCACUAGAGGGCGCGUCUCGACUGGCAGCGUCCACGUGGUUCGAUGCCGCACGUUCACAUCUGGAGACCAGGCAAGCGGCCGAGGCGGUGUUGGCCCACGCCGCUGCAUUGGGCCUGCAGUAUAUUUAGACGACCUGUUACUACUGUGAUGGACCUUUGCGUAAUAAGGACGUCCAAAGUUUCCUUGCUUGUAAACGUUGUAAAAAAUAAUUUUGAUAUCUUGUAAAUUGACUAAACUUCGCAUUUUGUAAAACAAAUUAAAAGUUGA
This is a long non-coding RNA of Ostrinia furnacalis (Asian corn borer), 402 nucleotides long. RefSeq lists it as uncharacterized. The transcript is spliced from 3 exons. Lineage: Eukaryota; Metazoa; Arthropoda; Insecta; Lepidoptera; Crambidae. The record is from RefSeq and is a predicted model, not a curated record.